Molecule: ribosomal RNA, 695 nt
Filed under: Klebsiella sp.
Lineage: Bacteria; Pseudomonadati; Pseudomonadota; Gammaproteobacteria; Enterobacterales; Enterobacteriaceae
Description: bacterial SSU rRNA
Rfam family: Bacterial small subunit ribosomal RNA
Source: RNAcentral
UGGCGGACGGGUGAGUAAUGUCUGGGAAACUGCCUGAUGGAGGGGGAUAACUACUGGAAACGGUAGCUAAUACCGCAUAACGUCGCAAGACCAAAGAGGGGGACCUUCGGGCCUCUUGCCAUCAGAUGUGCCCAGAUGGGAUUAGCUAGUAGGUGGGGUAACGGCUCACCUAGGCGACGAUCCCUAGCUGGUCUGAGAGGAUGACCAGCCACACUGGAACUGAGACACGGUCCAGACUCCUACGGGAGGCAGCAGUGGGGAAUAUUGCACAAUGGGCGCAAGCCUGAUGCAGCCAUGCCGCGUGUAUGAAGAAGGCCUUCGGGUUGUAAAGUACUUUCAGCGGGGAGGAAGGUGAUGAGGUUAAUAACCUUGUCGAUUGACGUUACCCGCAGAAGAAGCACCGGCUAACUCCGUGCCAGCAGCCGCGGUAAUACGGAGGGUGCAAGCGUUAAUCGGAAUUACUGGGCGUAAAGCGCACGCAGGCGGUCUGUCAAGUCGGAUGUGAAAUCCCCGGGCUCAACCUGGGAACUGCAUUCGAAACUGGCAGGCUGGAGUCUUGUAGAGGGGGGUAGAAUUCCAGGUGUAGCGGUGAAAUGCGUAGAGAUCUGGAGGAAUACCGGUGGCGAAGGCGGCCCCCUGGACAAAGACUGACGCUCAGGUGCGAAAGCGUGGGGAGCAAACAGGAUUAGAUACCC